RNAcentral lists this long non-coding RNA (251 nucleotides) under Ananas comosus (pineapple). Its description in RNAcentral is "long non-coding RNA (ACOM_LNC018177)". Lineage: Eukaryota; Viridiplantae; Streptophyta; Magnoliopsida; Poales; Bromeliaceae. The record is from RNAcentral.
CUAAAUGCUUAAAUAAGUUUUGAUAAAUUAGCAGCACUCUUUUAGGUUAUAGCGACACUCUUUAACUAUCACUAUAUACCUAGCGACCCCACAUAUAGCAACACUUUUUAAAAGUGUCGGUAAUUUUAGUUAGCAGCACUUUUUUAACAUGUACCUAUAUUUAAAAGUGUCGCUAUAGGCCGUUUUUGUUGUAGUGAAGCAUCAAAUUAAGUAUGCAAAUUUAUUGCUAUAUUUGGCUAUCGUUAGAUGAU